Molecule: ribosomal RNA, 468 nt
Filed under: uncultured bacterium
Lineage: Bacteria
Description: partial 16S ribosomal RNA
Rfam family: Bacterial small subunit ribosomal RNA
Source: RNAcentral
GACGAACGCUGGCGGCGUGCUUAACACAUGCAAGUCGAACGGAAAGGCCCUGCUUUUGUGGGGUGCUCGAGUGGCGAACGGGUGAGUAACACGUGAGUAACCUGCCCUUGACUUUGGGAUAACUUCAGGAAAUUGGGGCUAAUACCGGAUAGGAGCUCCUGCUGCAUGGUGGGGGUUGGAAAGUUUCGGCGGUUGGGGAUGGACUCGCGGCUUAUCAGCUUGUUGGUGGGGUAGUGGCUUACCAAGGCUUUGACGGGUAGCCGGCCUGAGAGGGUGACCGGCCACAUUGGGACUGAGAUACGGACCAGACUCCUACGGGAGGCAGCAGUGGGGAAUAUUGCACAAUGGGCGGAAGCCUGAUGCAGCAACGCCGCGUGCGGGAUGACGGCCUUCGGGUUGUAAACCGCUUUCGCCUGUGACGAAGCGUGAGUGACGGUAAUGGGUAAAGAAGCACCGGCUAACUACGUG